UACGGAGGGUGAAAGCGUUAUCCGGAUUCACUGGGUUUAAAGGGUGCGUAGGCGGGCAGGGAAGUCCGUGGUGAAAUCUCUGAGCUUAACUCAGAAACUGCCAUGGAUACUAUCUGUCUUGAAUAUUGUGGAGGUAAGCGGAAUAUGUCAUGUAGCGGUGAAAUGCUUAGAUAUGACAUAGAACACCAAUUGCGAAGGCAGCUUGCUACACAGUUAUUGACGCUGAGGCACGAAAGCGUGGGGAUCAAACAGG
Molecule: ribosomal RNA, 253 nt
Filed under: uncultured bacterium
Lineage: Bacteria
Description: partial 16S ribosomal RNA
Rfam family: Bacterial small subunit ribosomal RNA
Source: RNAcentral